UAGUUGCGUUUGGACUCUUGUUUUUAUUAUUUGUGCUUUCCCGCUACUUCGCGUCACUUGCAAAUACUCUCUCUCUCUCUGUCUCUCUUGCUGCAAUAUAUAUAUCUCUCUCUCCCCUCUACUCUUCCUCUUCGUUGAUUGAACCCUAUCCCUCUUCCUCAAGUCGUUCAUUGGGCUCUUCUGUUGUUGUUUAUGUCUUUUUGUCUGGUAUAUUUUAACGGUUGAUUUUAUUGAUUUAUUUAUGUGAACAAUUCUCAUGUUUCUUCGGGAUUAACGGAUGUAAGCUGUUGAUCUGGACGCUUAAUUUUUUGUGUUGUUCGGUUUAUGCUAAUUCUGAAUUUGUUUCUCUGAUGGCUUUCUGGUUCAGAGUUUUGUUUAAUCUGUUCGACUGCUGACAAAGAUGUAGGGAAUGUUAAAGGAUACCAUAAUAAUUGUUUUUUAUCCAAACGUUUUGAUUAUUUGCCUUUCUUUUAGUUAAAGAGCAUGGAAAAUGUGAAACUUUUUAUAUUCUUUUCUACUAUGCACUAAGAAAUGUUGUGAUUUUGUAGCUUUGUGGUUGUUCUUCUUUAUUUUUUUUGCGUUUUUCUGAUAUUUUAUAAUUGUAAUUAGAUAUUGUUUAAUUGAGAAAGAUUAACUCUCUCUCUCUCUCUCUCUUAUAGUUUUGUUUUCGUACUUGGAUGUGAUCAGCACCAUCUAACUUGAGUUGUGUUAUGCUUUUGUUGAUGUUCUGAGGUUUAGUCACUGAGAAAUGUUGGAGAAGUGGGAUGAAGAUGAUGAUGUUUCUUACAUCAAAAUUUUUAAAAAAAGUUAAUUUUGAUUAUAAUGUAAUUGUUUGAAUUUGCUGCGAUCACUUCACUUCUACCAUGCAGCUUCUGUCCCUUGAUGGAAAUAAGAGAUCUAUUUAAGAUGAAUCGUGGUUUUCUUUACGUGUAAUCCCCUUUAUGUUGGUUUCUUUCAAGGUAAAUAUUGUUAAUUGCUUAUCAUGAUGAAAAGGCGAAUCUGUUCGGAUGAAUCGCGGUUCUGUUUGUGUUUAAUCUUUUUGGUUGGUUUAACUUUCUAGGUGAAUCAUGUCAAUUACUUACCAUGGUGAGAAAUGGAAUAUAUUUAAGACCAAUUGCAGUUUCACUGAUCUUUAAUCCCUUUUGGUUAGUUUGAGUUUAUAGGUGGAUAGUGGUAAUACUUACCAUGAUAAGAAGGGAAUCUGUUUUAGAUCAAUUACGGUUUCAUUUGUGUGCUAUUUCUUUUGGAUGUCUAUCUUUCUAGGUGAGUCGUGUUAAUUUCUUACCAUCAUGAGAAGGGAAUUUGUUUAAUAUGAAUAACAGUUGUGUUUAUGUUUGAUCCUUUCUGUUUGUCCUAUCUUUCUAAGUAAAUUUUGUUAACUACUAACCAUAAUGAGAAUACAUGAUCACUCUGCAUUUUAACUGUGUUGUUUUGCAGUUUUUGUGUUAAAGUUGGUAGCCAAAUAAAUCAUGGUCGAAUUUACGUGUUGUCCAGAUUUAAUGAAAGAAGUUGGAUUUGGUUCAUGUUCUUCGGCUUCAGAUAGUAGCUAUGAUAGUGUAACUCCAAGAUAUUCCUCUGAUUCAAGUUUCACUAGUCAAACAACUUCUUUUUCAACAAGACGAUCUUCACAGGCAGGCUGGACAGAUGAAGAGGACAAUCUGCUGGCUGAAGUGGUUAAGAGGUUUAAUGGGAGGAAUUGGAAAAGAAUAGCUGAAUGCAUCACCGGAAGGACCGAUGUUCAGUGCUUGCACCGCUGGCAGAAGGUUCUAAAUCCUGAACUUGUCAAAGGCCCUUGGACAAAAGAGGAGGAUGAACGGAUUAUUCAGUUAGUCGAGAAAUUUGGCUCCAAGAGAUGGUCUGUUAUCGCUAAGUAUUUGCCAGGUCGAAUUGGCAAGCAAUGCAGGGAAAGGUGGCACAACCAUCUGGAUCCUGCAAUAAAGAAGGAUGCAUGGACUGAAGAGGAAGAAGCAAUACUAUCCUAUUAUCACCAAAUAUAUGGCAACAAGUGGGCAGAAAUAGCCAGGUUUCUUCCUGGAAGGACUGAUAAUGCAAUAAAAAAUCACUGGAACUGCUCAGCAAAGAAAAAGUUCGAUUUGAACUUGCCUUGUUGCUCUGAGCUGGAUUCACAGGGGAGUACUUCUGAUGGUUCCUGCAUUACUCAAAAGAGAACAAGUUCCAUUGAGCAUCAGUUGUUGUCCCAGAAAGUUCGUGAAAGAAGUGACCUUGGUCAGGAAAGGGGUCAGGAAAAUGUUGCUCAUGUCUGUUCAACAGAAUUAUCUCUUGGAAACACUAUUUUUCAUAUGGACCAUCUAGAGUCAAAAACUCAUCUGCAUGGGACCUGGCGAUCUUCAGACAAAGGGGUAGGCAAUCUAAUAAAUUCACUUGGUGGGUUCAAAGUUGGUGGCACGGAAAUUGUUCCCGCAGAUAUGCAUGGCAAUCCUUCGCCAGGUUAUGCUUUUUCCUCUGCCGUUUCUCCUGAUAAGUGUGAGAGGAUCUUUGAAUCUCCUAAGAGGACCAGGCAUGUGUCAGGCCUCUUACCAAAUACUGACUUUUUAAGUUUGUCAAGUUAUGGAUAUAGUAAGGAUAAUGGUCAGCUUAGCAAGAAAAACAAAGUUUGUAAAACUACACCUUGUCAGGAUCAUUGGCUGUCCAGCUUUUGGUGUUACGAUCCACCUCAAUGUCAAGACCUAGUCUCGGCUGAAAGUGAUGGGAUUAUCAGUCUAGACAAUCACACCACUCAUUCCAAACAUCGGCUAUUGUACUUUACCCCUCCUAGUUUAGUGCUAAAUAUUUCUGGUAACAGUAGUAGCAGUCCAGAGUCUUUGUUGAGAAACUCUGCUAUGAGUUACAAGAAUACUCCAUCAAUUAUAAGAAAGAAAAUUUCAAGAGAAGCCAGGGAUGAAGCCUCUUGUUGCAAAAACCCUAGAAAUACAACCUCAUCUUCAUCUCAGAGCAAGGAGAUAAAUAGCACAGGCUCAUCAAAAUUGGAGGGCACUUCAGUUUCCAACACUUACAAAUCUGAAACAUCAGUUGUUGGAAGAUCUCUAGAAAGACGAUUGGAUUUCGCUUCUGAUAGGGAAUGGGAAUCUACUGCUGUUAGGUUUUCCACCCCUAUCUCUGCAUCAUCAUCUGCACUUAACUCUGGAGGAAAAAUGAAUUUGACUCCUUAAAAGAAUUUAAUUGGAAGAACAGUUUUGGCCUAAUUUGGUGGACAUACUCACAGUUACUGGAAAGGUCUAACAAAUCCAGCAGCAGCAAAUGCCAUACAAGGAACAAGGCGAUCUCUAAGAAGUUAGUUUCAUAGUGGUAGUGCCAGUGAAACGCAACUGGGACGAGGAAACAACCAGCAACUUGGUAUCAGACUGAGCAGAAGAAGUAGAUUUCCUGUUUCCUCGGUUUCCCUGUGCUUGCAAGAGGCAAAACUUGAUCUUUACUCGAGUAUAGUUUCAGUUUCCAUUGGAAAAUGACUGCAAUAAAAUUUGACCCGGGGAUGAGGCAUGUCUAGUUUCAUGGAACCUUAGAAACUGUCUUUAAUAAUUAGAGAAGUUUCUUAGGCUUCUCUUCUCCAAUAAGCCCUUCAUAGUAUACCAAGGUGAAGAAUAUUGAAUACGUCGUCUUUCUUUUGUUUUUUUCAAGUUUUCCUGGAUAAUGUCUGUGGAUUGAUAUUUACUCUGUAUAUGUGUUGGUUCUGCAGUUUUAUCUGUGGCCAAUAAAUUAAGAUCAAAUUCAGCUUAUUUUGCAAAUUGCA
Non-coding RNA from Coffea arabica (coffee), 3748 nucleotides. Lineage: Eukaryota; Viridiplantae; Streptophyta; Magnoliopsida; Gentianales; Rubiaceae. The record is from RefSeq and is a predicted model, not a curated record.